GUAAUUACACAGGGGAGUUGGUAAUGGCCAGCUGAGAGUAAGAAAUCCAUUCUUAGACCCUUUAACCUGAUCUGGAUAAUGCCGGCGUAGGGAGUUAGAUGUAGAUAUUG
RNAcentral lists this non-coding RNA (110 nucleotides) under Clostridium sp. RNAcentral's name for it is "TPP sequence". It matches the Rfam family "TPP riboswitch aptamer (THI element)". From Rfam's summary of the family: Vitamin B(1) in its active form thiamin pyrophosphate (TPP) is an essential coenzyme that is synthesised by coupling of pyrimidine and thiazole moieties in bacteria. The previously detected thiamin-regulatory element, thi box was extended, resulting in a new, highly conserved RNA secondary structure, the THI element, which is widely distributed in eubacteria and also occurs in some archaea. RNAcentral also lists the same sequence under 1 other name. The record is from RNAcentral. Lineage: Bacteria; Bacillati; Bacillota; Clostridia; Eubacteriales; Clostridiaceae.